UUCUUAUUAAAAUCCUUCCAUCAACCCCGGGUUAUUAAAUCAUUUCAUAAUGAAGGAACCAUAUUUAGCAGGAAAUCGAAAAUAGAGGAAAUUUCCAGCAAUCAUCCAAGCAAGGCAGUAUAAACAUAAUGUUCUUGUUGCAAUAAAAUCAAUUCACAUGUAAAUGGGAAAUUUUCAAGAUUUAUCAUGCCAUAUAAUCACAUAUUAUAAUCAUAAUCUUUCUAUUGCAUAUACAUAUGCUUAAGCAUAUAUCAAUUAAUAUACCAC
RNAcentral lists this long non-coding RNA (267 nucleotides) under Theobroma cacao (cacao). RNAcentral describes it as "long non-coding RNA (TCAC_LNC001940)". The record is from RNAcentral. Lineage: Eukaryota; Viridiplantae; Streptophyta; Magnoliopsida; Malvales; Malvaceae.